GGGUCAUUAGGUUGGUCGUGCCACCGGUACGUACUGGUCUCACUGAUUCCUCCUUCCUGAAGAACCGUAAUGCCAUUAAUUUGGUGUUGCGGGGAAGCAGGACUGUUACUUUGAAAAAAUUAGGGUGUUUAAAGCAAGCUAACGCUUGAAUACAUUAGCAUGGAAUAAUGAAAUAGGACGAUCGGUCCUAUUUUGUUGGUUUCUAGGAUUGACGUA
RNAcentral lists this ribosomal RNA (216 nucleotides) under Glomeromycotina sp. RNAcentral describes it as "partial small subunit ribosomal RNA". The stretch from base 40 to 216 matches the Rfam family "Eukaryotic small subunit ribosomal RNA", at positions 686 to 864 of the family's 1831-position model. Lineage: Eukaryota; Fungi; Glomeromycota. The record is from RNAcentral.